Molecule: ribosomal RNA, 120 nt
Filed under: Crocosphaera watsonii WH 0003
Lineage: Bacteria; Bacillati; Cyanobacteriota; Cyanophyceae; Chroococcales; Aphanothecaceae
Also listed under: 4 other names
Source: RNAcentral
GUCUGGUGUCUCUAGCGUGGUGGUCCCACUCCGACCCCAUCCCGAACUCGGUAGUGAAACACCUCAGCGGCAACGAUACUUGUGGGGUAGCCCACUGGAACAAUAGCUCGAUGCCAGACU